RNAcentral lists this non-coding RNA (147 nucleotides) under Pan troglodytes (chimpanzee). The record is from Rfam by way of RNAcentral. Lineage: Eukaryota; Metazoa; Chordata; Mammalia; Primates; Hominidae.
GCUGGGCGUGGUGGCGUGCGCCUGUAAUCCCAGCCACUCGGGAGGCUGAGGCAGGAGAAUUGCUUGAAUCUGGGAGGUGGAGGUUGCAGUGAGCCAAGACCGCACACUGCACUCCAGCCCGGGCGACAGAGCAAGACUCUGUCUCAA